UUCAAAGGCAUGACUCCCUCCUCCAAUCUACCAACAGGGACCUGGGCCAGAAAUAUUUCUUCUUGGCCUUUAGAUUUUAUGGGACACCUUUUUUUAGUAACACCAUGUGUUGGUGAGAAUGCUGGCAGUAAAUGGCUGAGCUUGGCUCCUGUGUGAAAGUCAGGUCGGAUCCCGCCCUUGGACUGUGUAUGCCCCUUGGACUUCUUGGUUAUUGGAAGGGAAGGAGUAGCUUCAAGAGUAAAAUAAGUGGGAGAAACAUGCACAAUCUAACACUGCAAAGGAAGAGUGCUGUGAUUUUCUUCCCCAUUUGAGAAGCUCCGUGAAAAGGAAACCAUUGAUGAGAACAAAUGCAGACAUGACAGGUUGAUGCCCCAGCAGGUAAGAAAUCUAGAU
This 393-nucleotide long non-coding RNA is filed under the name Mustela putorius furo (domestic ferret). RNAcentral's name for it is "lncRNA (ENSMPUG00000028291.1)". The record is from RNAcentral. Lineage: Eukaryota; Metazoa; Chordata; Mammalia; Carnivora; Mustelidae.